UUUUUUUCUUUUUUUUUCUGUAUCAACCCAAAUAUUUAUUCAUAAUAAAUUUUACUACUUUCACAAGUGAAAGAAGGGGGUACGACCCCUACACCACGAAGGCAAAACACAAAAGCGCAACUAAAAAGGAAAUGCUAGACAUUUUAAUUCAUUUGCAGCCUCUCAAAUUUAGAUUAUUAGUUUUGAUACUAAAAAGAUGCUUUAUGGCUUAACAUUAGUUGCAUUAUAGAAAUUAAAAUAUUCCUGCAGACUUUGAUGGCAUGUAUAAAUAUUUUUUCAAAUAAAGUGGUAAAGCCAAAGUAACAUAUGCUCUUUUAUAAUUUACUUUAGAACAUAGGAUACAACUCAGUCUCUACAGAGGAGGAUAAAACAAAGUCUUCUAAAGAAAGCUGUUUUGACAAAAAAGAUCACUAAUGGAAAAUUAUUUUAUCUCUACAGAAUCAGGAAUAUAUGUUCUUCCCACAACAGUAUCUACUACUGAAAACUAAUGAAAAAUCUCUUGCAAAUCAAAAGAUAUAUUCUGAUAUAUUUUUAUAUCCAUCCUCCAAAUUUUAAUUUGUUAGGUAGGUACACUCUGGAGAGAUAAUCUGAUGAUAGGAAGGUCAAAGCUUGAAUUUCUGCCUUCAUUUUAGAGUCUGCCAUUAUUUCCAUUUCUUUUCUCCAAAAUGGUUGUCAAGUAACAUAAGGUCUUUUUAGGACACUGUCAAGUUUCAUUUGGUCCCAUUUUGUCAGUGGAAUUAAAGUAUCUCUAGGUAUAUUUAACCGUUUAAUAUCAGAAGGGAGGAGACCAAGCCAUCUGAUAGCUGAAACUGUGAGAUUAUGAGCUUCAAAAGACAUUGCCAUAGAUCCAUACUUAUAGAUGCACAUGAUUUCUAUGCAUAGUUGUCGUCUUAGCUCCAACCCAUAUUUUGAAUCUUACAAAAUUUUGCAGAAAUCUCAUCUGCCAGUUAUCUGCUUUACCCAGGAUGGAGAGGCUAGAAUUGUAUUUAGAGGAUAAAUAAUAAAUAAAUACAAUUCUAAAACAAGAAAACCAUACAAAUAUAUAAAACAAAAGUUUUCAGACAAUGGAUAACAGGCAGUGCAGGACUAUGAUCCCUGAAGAAACGGAAAAAACAAACUGAACCUUACAGUUGAACUAAUUUGCCAGUUUCAAGGCUAUAGCACAGGGAAGGGCAACCUAGACAGAGUCUAGAUCUUUGGCUGAGUUGAAGAGCUAGAUACAAGAGUUCAGAGAGGCCAAAGUCCCUAGAAUUUGCAGGACAAAGUAGUACAGAAGACAGAACUCUGAGAGAUAGGUUGGGACCUGGAAGAGUCUUUGGCUUUGUUUUUGGCUGUGCAUGCAGUAAAAGAAUAUAACUGGGUCCAAGGAAAUGACCUAUGGAGCAGAUUCUAGGAAAAACAAAGUAAUUCCUAGACCUUACACAGGACUGGGAAUAAAGUAUUUAUGAUUCCAUAAGCCAAAGUGGAAAGAUCUUAUAUUACACAGGGCAAUCAAAUAGAAUUCUCAGAAAAUUAUUGCCUUAAUUAUGGGAUUAAAAUCAUCCAAGACUAAAGGCUGUUCUUCAUCUACCUUGGUAAUCUUAAAAUAUUAAAUGGAUCCAGUUUCAAGUACUUACCUAUCCACUGUUUAAAGAAAUUCGACAGAAUCCAGCAACCAAGAAUGUAAAAUUCACAGUAUCUGUCAUAUGAUUAAAAAUCAUGAAACAUGCAAAGAAACAAGAGGACAUGAUCCACAGUAAGGAGAAAAAUAGAAAACUCAAUCAACAGAAACAAAUCUAGAAAUAAUAGAUAUGAUGAAGCUAGCAGACAAACUAUUUAAAACAGACCUUAUAGAUAUAAAAUAUAUAUUCACAAAAGUAAAGGAAAACAUGGACAUGAUAAAGAGAGAAAGGAAAAAAUAUAUAAAAGGUCCAAAUAGAACUUCUCAAAAUGAAAAUAUACCUGAAAUUUAAAAACACACUGUAUAGGAUUUAAAGCAGACCAGAUACUACAGAAGAUAACAUCAGUGAAUUUGAAGAAAUAGCAAUAGAAACUAUAACAGAAGCACAAAGAGAAAACAAAAUGAAUAGAGCAUCAGUUACCUAUGGGAUAAUAUGAAAUGGUCUACAUAUGUAUAAGUGGAAUCUAGAAACAGGCAGGCACCAAAGAAGUUUUAAAGAAAAAAUGGCCAAAAUAUUUUCCAAAUUUGAUGAAAAACUAAACAGAUCCAAGAAGCUCAAAGAAUUACAAGCAGAACAUAUAUAAAGAAAAACAUUACAAGGCACAUCAUCAUCAAAUUGUUGAACAUCAAUGAUAGAACAUUUUUUAAAAAGAUUUUAUUUAUUUAUUCAUGAGAGACAUAGAGAGAGGCAGAGACACAGGCAGGGGGAGAAGCAGGCUCCAUGCAGGGAGCCUGACGCGGGACUCAAUCCCAGGUCUCCAGAAUCACACCCUGGGCUGAAGGCAGCACUAAACCGCUGAGCCACCCAGGCUGCCCGAGAGAACAUCUUAAAAGCAGACAGAGGAGUGCCUGGGUGGCACAAUUUUUAAGUGCCAGAGCCUUGGCUUCAGCUCAGGACAUGAUCUUGGGGUUGUGGGAUUGAGCUCGGAGUGAGAUGGAGCCCAGAGUGGGGCUCCAUGCUCAGUGAGGAGUCUGCUUAAGUUUCUCUCUCCCUCUCCCCACCACCUCUCUCUCUAAAAAAAAAAAAAAAAAAAAAAA
This 2698-nucleotide long non-coding RNA is filed under the name Canis lupus familiaris (dog). RNAcentral's name for it is "lncRNA (ENSCAFG00000054862.1)". The record is from RNAcentral. Lineage: Eukaryota; Metazoa; Chordata; Mammalia; Carnivora; Canidae.